Molecule: ribosomal RNA, 253 nt
Filed under: uncultured bacterium
Lineage: Bacteria
Description: partial 16S ribosomal RNA
Rfam family: Bacterial small subunit ribosomal RNA
Source: RNAcentral
UACGGAGGGUGCAAACGUUGCUCGGAAUCAUUGGGCGUAAAGCGCACGUAGGCGGCCUGAUAAGUCGGGUGUGAAAGCCCUGGGCUCAACCCAGGAAGUGCACUCGAAACUGUCAGGCUUGAAUAUGGAAGAGGGUCGCGGAAUUCCCGGUGUAGAGGUGAAAUUCGUAGAUAUCGGGAGGAACACCAGUGGCGAAGGCGGCGACCUGGGCCAAUAUUGACGCUGAGGUGCGAAAGCGUGGGGAGCAGACAGG